This 464-nucleotide ribosomal RNA is filed under the name uncultured bacterium. RNAcentral describes it as "partial 16S ribosomal RNA". It matches the Rfam family "Bacterial small subunit ribosomal RNA", at positions 29 to 507 of the family's 1533-position model. The record is from RNAcentral.
ACGAACGCUGGCGGCGUGCUUAACACAUGCAAGUCGAACGGAGAGGCCCCUUUGGGGGUACUCGAGUGGCGAACGGGUGAGUAACACGUGAGUAACCUGCCCUUGACUUCGGGAUAACUUCAGGAAACUGGGGCUAAUACCGGAUAGGAAUCCUUGCUGCAUGGUGGGGGUUGGAAAGCUUCGGCGGUUUUGGAUGGACUCGCGGCUUAUCAGCUUGUUGGUGGGGUAGUGGCUUACCAAGGCUUUGACGGGUAGCCGGCCUGAGAGGGCGACCGGCCACAUUGGGACUGAGAUACGGCCCAGACUCCUACGGGAGGCAGCAGUGGGGAAUAUUGCACAAUGGGCGGAAGCCUGAUGCAGCAACGCCGCGUGCGGGAUGACGGCCUUCGGGUUGUAAACCGCUUUCAGCAGGGGCGAAGCUUGUGGUGACGGUACCUGCAGAAGAAGCACCGGCUAACUACGUG